CCAACCCAACCCAACCCAACCGAGGCUGCUAAGAAGAUGAGCAACAUCAUCAACAGAGGAGAAGAUGAAGAUGAAGAUACAGUCUCGAAAAUUCCAUUGAUGAAAUCAAUGAAUAAGCGAUUUUACCAGAAUAUUGAUCAUUCCAAGGGUCGAUCACUUAAAGAUGAUUGAGAUCGAUGGUCUUGCUUGUGAUUUGUUUCAUAAGCCCAUCGAUGGAGCUACACAUCCAAUUGUUCUACUAGGCUGGAUUCCAAUAUGAAAAGAGGCAAAUGGACGAAGAAUUUGGAUGGCUAUGAAUUCAAGCUAAGUAUCCAAGUAAAAGCAACAAAGCAAACCACUCUCUUGAACUUGAAGCAUAUUGGAUGUGUUAAAAAUAUUUGUUAAAAUGUUAUAUGACAAAAAGCUAUAUAAAAGUGAGAUAUGAAUUAAAAUUUUCAGUAUAUGAGUGCUCCAAUAGAGUCGUAUUCUCUGAUUAGUAUAUGAG
Camellia sinensis is the source of this 484-nucleotide long non-coding RNA. RefSeq lists it as uncharacterized. Lineage: Eukaryota; Viridiplantae; Streptophyta; Magnoliopsida; Ericales; Theaceae. The record is from RefSeq and is a predicted model, not a curated record.